This 268-nucleotide long non-coding RNA is filed under the name Homo sapiens (human). Its description in RNAcentral is "non-protein coding lnc-CHODL-6:1". The record is from RNAcentral. Lineage: Eukaryota; Metazoa; Chordata; Mammalia; Primates; Hominidae.
AUGACAAAGGGAACGCCCUUGUUUGUAGUGUUGCAAUAACACUCGCUCUUGGGCCACCACUGUGGUCUAAGAUCUAUCACCUGCAGAAGUGACCUGUGGCAAGUGUGGCUACUCUGCCAAGCACAGGAGAAAGUAUAACUGGAGUGCCAAGGCUAAAAGACAAAAUACCACUGGGACUGGUUGAAUGAGGCAGCUAAAAAUUGUGUACAGCAGGUUCAGGCAUGGAUUCCACGAAGAAACAACACCUAAGCCCAAGAGAGCAGCUGCU